UUGUGUUUUCCUUCUAACCUGUGAGAGGCUGCAGUGAUAUUUGGUUGUGCAAAGCGGCAAAACUCAUCUGAGGGAAACCUAGAGACGAGAUUACAUCAUCAUUGAAGCUCCACCCACUGUAUUUCAUCAUCAGUGAAGCUCCUCCCACUGUAAUUUAUCAUCAGUGAAGCUCUUGUAACUGUAAUUCUCCAAUAAAUGCUGUAAAUUCCCAUCAGCUACAAGUAAAGACGAGCAUCAGAGCAUCAGGAAGAGCUGAAAUCUGCAAAGACUGAGUUUAUUAAAGAGGACAGUGAGAACAUGAGUGAUCCAGAACCCUGCAGAAUGAAAGACACUGAAGAUGCUGAAGAACAAAGAGACCUGAUGGAAGUGAAGGAGGAGAGAGAAGAACUGAGUG
This is a non-coding RNA of Pimephales promelas (fathead minnow), 394 nucleotides long. Lineage: Eukaryota; Metazoa; Chordata; Actinopteri; Cypriniformes; Leuciscidae. The record is from RefSeq and is a predicted model, not a curated record.